Molecule: ribosomal RNA, 465 nt
Filed under: uncultured bacterium
Lineage: Bacteria
Description: bacterial SSU rRNA
Rfam family: Bacterial small subunit ribosomal RNA
Source: RNAcentral
AACGAACGUUAGCGGCGCGCCUAACACAUGCAAGUCGAGCGAGAAAGGGCUUCGGCCCCGGUAAAGCGGCGCACGGGUGAGUAACACGUGGGUAACCUGCCCUCCGGGUUGGGGAUAACAUUCCGAAAGGAGCGCUAAUACCGAAUAAGACCACGACCUCGAAAGAGGAUGCGGUCAAAGCUGGCCUCUAUACAUAAGCUAGCGCCUGAGGAUGGGCCCGCGGCGCAUCAUGGUAGUUGGUGAGGUAACGGCUCACCAAGCCGAAGACGCGUAGCUGGUCUGAGAGGAUGAUCAGCCACACUGGAACUGAGACACGGUCCAGACUCCUACGGGAGGCAGCAGUGGGGAAUCUUGCGCAAUGGGCGAAAGCCUGACGCAGCGACGCCGCGUGAGUGAUGAAGGCCUCCGGGUUGUAAAGCUCUGUGGGGAGAGACGAAUAAGUGCGGGCUAAUACUCCGCAUGAUG